RNAcentral lists this ribosomal RNA (512 nucleotides) under uncultured bacterium. Its description in RNAcentral is "partial 16S ribosomal RNA". It matches the Rfam family "Bacterial small subunit ribosomal RNA", at positions 28 to 507 of the family's 1533-position model. The record is from RNAcentral.
GACGAACGCUGGCGGCGUGCCUAAUACAUGCAAGUCGAGCGAGCGGAACUAACAGAUUUACCUCGGUAAUGACGUUAGGAAAGCGAGCGGCGGAUGGGUGAGUAACACGUGGGGAACCUGCCCCAUAGUCUGGGAUACCACUUGGAAACAGGUGCUAAUACCGGAUAAGAAAGCAGAUCGCAUGAUCAGCUUUUAAAAGGCGGCGUAAGCUGUCGCUAUGGGAUGGCCCCGCGGUGCAUUAGCUAGUUGGUAAGGUAAAGGCUUACCAAGGCGAUGAUGCAUAGCCGAGUCGAGAGACUGAUCGGCCACAUUGGGACUGAGACACGGCCCAAACUCCUACGGGAGGCAGCAGUAGGGAAUCUUCCACAAUGGACGCAAGUCUGAUGGAGCAACGCCGCGUGAGUGAAGAAGGUUUUCGGAUCGUAAAGCUCUGUUGUUGGUGAAGAAGGAUAGAGGUAGUAACUGGCCUUUAUUUGACGGUAAUCAACCAGAAAGUCACGGCUAACUACGUG